GUAGGUGGCAAGCGUUGUCCGGAAUUAUUGGGCGUAAAGCGCGCGCAGGCGGGUUCUUUAAGUCUGAUGUGAAAGCCCACGGGCUCAACCGUGGAGGGUCAUUGGAAACUGGAGAACUUGAGUACAGAAGAGGAAAGCGGUAUUCCACGUGUAGCGGUGAAAUGCGUAGAGAUGUGGAGGAACACCAGUGGCGAAGGCGGCUUUCUGGUCUGUAACUGACGCUGAGGCGCGAAAGCGUGGGGAGCAAACAGGAUUAGAUACCCUGGUAGUCCACGCCGUAAACGAUGAGUGCUAAGCGUUAGGGGGUUUCCGCCCCUUAGUGCUGCAGCUAACGCAUUAAGCACUCCGCCUGGGGGGUACGGCCGCAAGGCUG
RNAcentral lists this ribosomal RNA (373 nucleotides) under uncultured organism. RNAcentral's name for it is "partial 16S ribosomal RNA". It matches the Rfam family "Bacterial small subunit ribosomal RNA", at positions 527 to 896 of the family's 1533-position model. The record is from RNAcentral.